Molecule: long non-coding RNA, 366 nt
Organism: Clupea harengus (Atlantic herring)
Lineage: Eukaryota; Metazoa; Chordata; Actinopteri; Clupeiformes; Clupeidae
Source: Ensembl
CAGGUAUCAGAGGACAAACUGGACAUCAAAUGACAUUACAUUAUCAAUGUUCAGGUAUCAGAGGACAAACUGGACAUCAAAUGACAUUACAUUAUCAAUGUUCAGGUAUCAGAGGACAAACUGGAAAUCAAAUCCAUUUCAUUGCUAUAACAUUGUUUGCUUUCUUCAUUCAAUAUUUGUUUCUCAGAACUAUAACAGUAGACAGAAUAUAAUCAUGUGACUCACUGCCCAGUGCUUUCAAUGACAUGACUGGAGUUCUUUGUCAUGACCACACUGUCCUGAUUGUACUCAAAGAGCAUGUUGCUCUUGGGCCACACACAGAAAUCUAAUCACUGAUCAGUCACACAAGUAGCAUUCACACAGGGU